This 253-nucleotide ribosomal RNA is filed under the name uncultured bacterium. RNAcentral's name for it is "partial 16S ribosomal RNA". It matches the Rfam family "Bacterial small subunit ribosomal RNA", at positions 524 to 776 of the family's 1533-position model. RNAcentral also lists the same sequence under 1 other name. The record is from RNAcentral.
UACGGGGGGGGCAAGCGUUGUUCGGAAUUACUGGGCGUAAAGGGCUCGUAGGCGGCCAACUAAGUCAGACGUGAAAUCCCCAGGCUUAACUUGGGAACUGCGUCUGAUACUGGAUGGCUUGAGUUUGGGAGAGGGAUGCGGAAUUCCAGGUGUAGCGGUGAAAUGCGUAGAUAUCUGGAGGAACACCGGUGGCGAAGGCGACAUCCUGGACCAACACUGACGCUGAGGAGCGAAAGCCAGGGGAGCAAACGGG